GGAUAACGCAGCGAAAGCUGUGCUAAUACCGCAUACGAUCUACGGAUGAAAGCAGGGGAUCGCAAGACCUUGCGCGAAUGGAGCGGCCGAUGGCAGAUUAGGUAGUUGGUGAGGUAAAGGCUCACCAAGCCUUCGAUCUGUAGCUGGUCUGAGAGGACGACCAGCCACACUGGGACUGAGACACGGCCCAGACUCCUACGGGAGGCAGCAGUGGGGAAUUUUGGACAAUGGGCGAAAGCCUGAUCCAGCCAUGCCGCGUGCAGGAUGAAGGCCUUCGGGUUGUAAACUGCUUUUGUACGGAACGAAACGGUCUUUUCUAAUACAGAAGGCUAAUGACGGUACCGUAAGAAUAAGCACCGGCUAACUACGUGCCAGCAGCCGCGGUAAUACGUAGGGUGCAAGCGUUAAUCGGAAUUACUGGGCGUAAAGCGUGCGCAGGCGGUUAUGUAAGACAGUUGUGAAAUCCC
RNAcentral lists this ribosomal RNA (467 nucleotides) under bacterium SA051. Its description in RNAcentral is "bacterial SSU rRNA". It matches the Rfam family "Bacterial small subunit ribosomal RNA", at positions 141 to 603 of the family's 1533-position model. The record is from RNAcentral.